GCGCCCGUAGCUCAGCUGGAUAGAGCGAUGGACUUCUAAUCCAUGGGUCGCAGGUUCGAAUCCUGCCGGGCGCG
This 74-nucleotide transfer RNA is filed under the name Geodermatophilaceae bacterium. RNAcentral describes it as "tRNA-Arg". It matches the Rfam family "tRNA". From Rfam's summary of the family: Transfer RNA (tRNA) molecules are approximately 80 nucleotides in length. Their secondary structure includes four short double-helical elements and three loops (D, anti-codon, and T loops). The record is from RNAcentral. Lineage: Bacteria; Bacillati; Actinomycetota; Actinomycetes; Geodermatophilales; Geodermatophilaceae.